RNAcentral lists this ribosomal RNA (465 nucleotides) under uncultured bacterium. RNAcentral describes it as "partial 16S ribosomal RNA". It matches the Rfam family "Bacterial small subunit ribosomal RNA", at positions 28 to 507 of the family's 1533-position model. The record is from RNAcentral.
GAUGAACGCUGGCGGCGUGCUUAACACAUGCAAGUCGAACGGAAAGGCUCCUGCUUGCAGGGGUACUCGAGUGGCGAACGGGUGAGUAACACGUGGGUGAUCUGCCCUGCACUUCGGGAUAAGCCUGGGAAACUGGGUCUAAUACCGGAUAGGACGAUGGUUUGGAUGCCAUUGUGGAAAGUUUUGCGGUGUGGGAUGAGCUCGCGGCCUAUCAGCUUGUUGGUGGGGGAAUGGCCUACCAAGGCGUCGACGGGUAGCCGGCCUGAGAGGGUGUACGGCCACAUUGGGCCUGAGAUACGGCCCAGACUCCUACGGGAGGCAGCAGUGGGGAAUAUUGCACAAUGGGCGCAAGCCUGAUGCAGCGACGCCGCGUGGGGGAUGACGGCCUUCGGGUUGUAAACUCCUUUCGCUAGGGACGAAGCGCAAGUGACGGUACCUGGAGAAGAAGCACCGGCUAACUACGUG